Molecule: long non-coding RNA, 205 nt
Filed under: Mytilus galloprovincialis (Mediterranean mussel)
Lineage: Eukaryota; Metazoa; Mollusca; Bivalvia; Mytilida; Mytilidae
Source: RNAcentral
UGUCUACUGAACUGAGCAGGAUAACAUUUUGCUCAUGCCAAAGUGUUUCUUUAUUUUCAACAAAGAUAAAUUCUGCACAAUGUUUUUGGAAAGUGCAAAUUAACAAAGAUAUAAUGGAGAAAAACAAUGGUGGUAUAACAUCUUUAAGUCAGUACUGGUAGUCGAACAUAGAUAUAUUUCCAUGGAUGACAUAAGUGUAAACGAG